AGAAAAGCCCUUAACCACACUGUAGUGUCCAACCAACUCAGGGCCUGAGUGGGAGUCAAGCCAUUAGCUGCAAUGAAUAGAGGAGGAGGAAGAGGCUGGAAGGUCAUUUAGUAUGCUCAGUUGUGGCUGACACACUGCAAGACCCUGAGUGAUUCACUUAAUCUUUCUGAACUUUACUUUCAUCAGUGAAACAGUCAAUAAAGAUAUCUACCUCAUAGGU
This 220-nucleotide long non-coding RNA is filed under the name Mus pahari (shrew mouse). RNAcentral describes it as "lncRNA (MGP_PahariEiJ_G0005481.1)". The record is from RNAcentral. Lineage: Eukaryota; Metazoa; Chordata; Mammalia; Rodentia; Muridae.